CCCCAAAGCCCCAAGACAAGAGAUGUGCAGGAUCUUGGAGGAUGCAGGAUUCCUUUGCAUUACAAAAGUACCGUGCUUGGUGGCUCAUUUAAGACCAAGAUAUCUUCUGUGGGCCAGGAGUAAAACCCACACCUGCCUCCAAUACAGAGGACAAGUGGAAGGAGAAGGUAUAGCACAUUUGACCCAUACCCACCCUCACCUGGGCACCAUGGGCAUCGCCCACUGCACCAUUCCUGAGCUGAGAGCCCGUGGAGCAGCUGAGUUGUACAGUGGUGGAAUGCUACACUUACAGGCA
This is a long non-coding RNA of Pogoniulus pusillus (Red-fronted tinkerbird), 295 nucleotides long. RefSeq lists it as uncharacterized. NCBI's taxonomy places the organism in Eukaryota, Metazoa, Chordata, Aves, Piciformes, Lybiidae. The transcript has 3 exons. The record is from RefSeq and is a predicted model, not a curated record.